Molecule: ribosomal RNA, 1485 nt
Filed under: uncultured bacterium
Lineage: Bacteria
Description: bacterial SSU rRNA
Rfam family: Bacterial small subunit ribosomal RNA
Source: RNAcentral
AGAGUUUGAUCCUGGCUCAGGAUGAACGCUGGCGGUAUGCCUAACACAUGCAAGUCGAACGGGGUAGCAAUACCAAGUGGCGGACGGGUGAGUAACGCGUGAGAAUGUGCCUUCAGGAUGGGGAUAGCAGUGGGAAACCAGUGGUAAAACCCGAUGUGCCGAGAGGUAAAAAAUGAAAAUUGCCUGAAGAGGAGCUCGCGUCUGAUUAGCUAGUUGGUGAGGUAAAAGCGCACCAAGGCGACGAUCAGUAGCUGGUCUGAGAGGAUGAGCAGCCACACUGGGACUGAGACACGGCCCAGACUCCUACGGGAGGCAGCAGUGGGGAAUUUUCCGCAAUGGGCGAAAGCCUGACGGAGCAAUACCGCGUGAGGGAGGAAGGCCUUUGGGUUGUAAACCUCAAAACUUAGGGAAGAAGAAAGUGACGGUACCUAAUAUAAGCAUCGGCUAACUCCGUGCCAGCAGCCGCGGUAAUACGGAGGAUGCAAGCGUUAUCCGGAAUUAUUGGGCGUAAAGAGUCCGUAGGUGGAACUUCAAGUCUGCAGUCAAAGACCAGAGCUUAACUCAGGAAAGGCAGUGGAAACUGAAGAACUAGAGUGUGGGAGGGGUAGAGGGAAUUCCCAGUGUAGCGGUGAAAUGCGUAGAGAUUGGGAAGAACACCAGUGGCGAAGGCGCUCUACUGGACCAAAACUGACACUGAGGGACGAAAGCUAAGGGAGCGAAAGGGAUUAGAUACCCCUGUAGUCUUAGCGGUAAACGAUGGAUACUAGGCGUAGCGCGUAAAGACUCGGGCUGUGCCGAAGCCAACGCGAUAAGUAUCCCCGCCUGGGGAGUACGCACGCAAGUGUGAAACUCAARGRAAUUGACGGGGACCCGCCACAAGCGGUGGAGUAUGUGGUUUAAUUCGAUGCAACGCGAAGAACCUUACCAAGACUUGACAUCCGGCGAAUCCGCUUGAAAAAGGGGAGUGCCUAAGGGAAGGCCGUGACAGGUGGUGCAUGGCUGUCGUCAGCUCGUGUCGUGAGAUGUUGGGUUAAGUCCCGCAACGAGCGCAACCCUCGUCCUUAGUUGCCAGCAGUAAGAUGGGGACUCUAAGGAGACUGCCGGUGAAAAACCGGAGGAAGGUGAGGAUGACGUCAAGUCAGCAUGCCCCCUACGUUUUGGGCUACACACGUACUACAAUGGUAAGGACAAAGGGAAGCGAACUCGAAAGAAGGAGCGAAUCUCAGCAAACCUUACCCCAGUUCAGAUUGCCGGCUGCAACUCGCCGACAUGAAGGAGGAAUCGCUAGUAAUCGCAGGUCAGCAUACUGCGGUGAAUCCGUUCCCGGGUCUUGUACACACCGCCCGUCACACCAUGGAAGUUGGUCACGCCCGAAGUCGUUACCCUAACCGUAAAAAGAAGGGGACGCCGAAGGUGGGACUAGUGACUGGGGUGAAGUCGUAACAAGGUAGCCGUACCGGAAGGUGUGGCUGGAUCACCUCCUUA